Molecule: ribosomal RNA, 253 nt
Filed under: uncultured bacterium
Lineage: Bacteria
Description: partial 16S ribosomal RNA
Rfam family: Bacterial small subunit ribosomal RNA
Source: RNAcentral
UACAGAGGGUGCAAGCGUUGUUCGGAAUUAUUGGGCGUAAAGCGCGUGUAGGCGGCUUUGCAAGUCGGGUGUGAAAGCCCUCAGCUCAACUGAGGAAGUGCGCCCGAAACUGCAGGGCUUGAGUACCGGAGAGGAUGGCGGAAUUCCCCAAGUAGAGGUGAAAUUCGUAGAUAUGGGGAGGAACACCGGUGGCGAAGGCGGCCAUCUGGACGGAUACUGACGCUGAGACGCGAAAGCGUGGGUAGCAAACAGG